This 245-nucleotide ribosomal RNA is filed under the name uncultured Erysipelotrichaceae bacterium. RNAcentral's name for it is "partial 16S ribosomal RNA". It matches the Rfam family "Bacterial small subunit ribosomal RNA", at positions 524 to 769 of the family's 1533-position model. The record is from RNAcentral. Lineage: Bacteria; Bacillati; Bacillota; Erysipelotrichia; Erysipelotrichales; Erysipelotrichaceae.
UACGUAGGUGGCAAGCGUUAUCCGGAAUCAUUGGGCGUAAAGGGUGCGUAGGCGGCUUAUUAAGUCUGUAGUGAAAUCGUGGAGCUCAACUCCAUCAAGCUACGGAAACUGGUGAGCUAGAGUGCGGCAGAGGCUAGUGGAAUUCCAUGUGUAGCGGUAAAAUGCGUAGAUAUAUGGAGGAACACCGGUGGCGAAGGCGGCUAGCUGGGCCGUAACUGACGCUGAGGCACGAAAGCGUGGGGAGC